GGCAGAGCAGCGUUUCUUUAAAAGACCACUAUAAUAUCUGGUGACUGGAUUGCUGUCACUCUGGCUUUUGGCUUUUGCUAAUGUUCCUCUUGCUGCCUUUUAUUUUCUGUUUUUUCUCUUGCAAUUUCCAUCAGCUCACUUGCCAGCUUUUCCUUUUCCUUCCACGGAAGCUGUUUGAGCAUGCAAAUAUGUCCAGCUAGAUUCAUUUCUGUGUCAGGAUAUUCCUCCUGAAGGUGCAGAAAUAAGCCACUUCGGUGCCACUUUGCCAUCAAAAUUUCAGAUAUGCCAAAGAAUUGUUCAUCCCUCAUAAGAACCAAUUUUUUUCGCAAGUAAUGUGUUCAGAAUGUUCAUCGCAUCUCUCAUCACCAAACACCUGCAGUAAAUAAACACAUCACAUAAAACUUACAAAUAUUCUUGAUAUUGAGGUCCAUAGUAUUGUUCAGGAUUGUUUCACACCAUGACUCGGAACACAAAGAAUUAAGAUCAUUUUUUAGAUACAAUCACUUCUCAGAUUAAAGCAACCAUUUAUAUGUGCAACCAUCUUUAAAAAAAUCAAACUCAGAAGGUCUGAGAAAAGGUGCCUUAGUUGUAGGCUUGUAGCUCAUCUGCCUCCACUAAGAAUCCAACCUUACAUUCCAGCUGCAAUGCAAUGACAUCUAUGAUCAAACUCUUCGAGAUUGGCAUCAAGGGUCCAAGCAAUGAAAUAUUGAUGACCACCUCCAAGAGUAAUGACAUGCUUUCAUAGGUUGAGAACUCUACAACAAAGCUUGAGCCCCUGGAAAAUAUCAGAUUUUUCUUACACUUUAAAUAAAAUCCGACACUACAAGUUAGACUGAAAGUCCAUCUUUAAGCCUGACAGCUGACACCCGAAAAUCCCCCAUAGUUCUGCACCAACUGCGCAUCCUCCCACCAUUCCAAACCUGCAGCGACAUCGCAAAUAACCACCACUGUCGUGGGAAUCACACACACGCGCACACACACACAUGAACCCAUGCAAUUGCCGCUCGAUCAUUCAAGGUGCGUAAACUCGUCCUAAUCGAAGACGAAAAGCGAAACGGGGGAAGCGAGAGAGGGAGAGGGAAAGAGAUCGAGAUCAUACGUGGCCCUCAAACAUCGUCGAAGUCGAGGGGAGGACGACGGUGUCCUGUGCACCUUGUUCGAGCUCGACUUGUCACCCCUUCAUCGUCUGUUUCUCAUCUCUCAUCUACUCUCCCCUUUGAUUCG
This 1224-nucleotide long non-coding RNA is filed under the name Triticum aestivum (bread wheat). RNAcentral's name for it is "long non-coding RNA (TAES_LNC003442)". Lineage: Eukaryota; Viridiplantae; Streptophyta; Magnoliopsida; Poales; Poaceae. The record is from RNAcentral.